Molecule: ribosomal RNA, 910 nt
Filed under: uncultured bacterium
Lineage: Bacteria
Description: bacterial SSU rRNA
Rfam family: Bacterial small subunit ribosomal RNA
Source: RNAcentral
AGAGUUUGAUCAUGGCUCAGGACGAACGCUGGCGGCGUGCUUAACACAUGCAAGCCGAGCGAUGAAGCACCUUCGGGUGUGAAUUAGCGGCGAACGGGUGAGGAACACGUGAAGAAUCUGCCUUCAACUCUGGGAUAACUCCGGGAAACCGGGGCUAAUACCGGAUAUGAGCCUUGAUCGCAUGAUCGGGGCUGGAAAGUUUUUCGGUUGAAGAUGACUUCGCGGCCUAUCAGCCUGUUGGUGAGGUAAUGGCUCACCAAGGCGACGACGGGUAGCCGGCCUGAGAGGGCGACCGGCCACACUGGGACUGAGACACGGCCCAGACUCCUACGGGAGGCAGCAGUGGGGAAUAUUGGGCAAUGGAGGAAACUCUGACCCAGCGACGCCGCGUGAGGGAUGAAGGCCUUCGGGUUGUAAACCUCUUUCAGUAGGGAAGAAGCGAAAGUGACGGUACCUACAGAAGAAGCACCGGCUAACUAUGUGCCAGCAGCCGCGGUAAUACAUAGGGUGCAAGCGUUGUCCGGAAUUAUUGGGCGUAAAGAGCUCGUAGGUGGUUCGAUACGUCGGAUGUGAAAAUCAGGGGCUCAACCCCUGACCUGCAUCCGAUACGGUCGAGCUAGAGUUUGGUAGGGGAGACUGGAAUUCCUGGUGUAGCGGUGGAAUGCGCAGAUAUCAGGAGGAACACCGAUGGCGAAGGCAGGUCUCUGGGCCAAUACUGACACUGAGGAGCGAAAGCGUGGGGAGCGAACAGGAUUAGAUACCCUGGUAGUCCACGCCGUAAACGGUGGGCGCUAGUUGUGCGAACCUUCCACGGUUUGUGCGACGCAGCUAACGCAUUAAGCGCCCCGCCUGGGGAGUACGAUCGCAAGAUUAAAACUCAAAGGAAUUGACGGGGCCCCGCACAAGCAGC